GACAGAGGGUGCAAACGUUGUUCGGAAUUACUGGGCGUAAAGCGCGUGUAGGCGGCUCGGAAAGUCGGGUGUGAAAGCCCUGGGCUCAACCCAGGAAGUGCAUUCGAAACUUCCGAGCUGGAGUCCUGGAGAGGAUGGUGGAAUUCUCGGUGUAGAGGUGAAAUUCGUAGAUAUCGAGAGGAACACCGGUGGCGAAGGCGACCAUCUGGACAGUGACUGACGCUGAGACGCGAAAGCGUGGGGAGCAAACAGG
Molecule: ribosomal RNA, 253 nt
Filed under: uncultured bacterium
Lineage: Bacteria
Description: partial 16S ribosomal RNA
Rfam family: Bacterial small subunit ribosomal RNA
Source: RNAcentral